GAUGAACGCUGGCGGCGUGCCUAAUACAUGCAAGUCGAGCGAACAGACGAGGAGCUUGCUCCUCUGACGUUAGCGGCGGACGGGUGAGUAACACGUGGAUAACCUACCUAUAAGACUGGGAUAACUUCGGGAAACCGGAGCUAAUACCGGAUAAUAUAUUGAACCGCAUGGUUCAAUAGUGGAAGACGGUUUUGCUGUCACUUAUAGAUGGAUCCGCGCCGCAUUAGCUAGUUGGUAAGGUAACGGCUUACCAAAGCAACGAUGCGUAGCCGACCUGAGAGGGUGAUCGGCCACACUGGAACUGAGACACGGUCCAGACUCCUACGGGAGGCAGCAGUAGGGGAUCUUCCGCAAUGGGCGAAAGCCUGACGGAGCAACGCCGCGUGAGUGAUGAAGGUCUUCGGAUCGUAAAACUCUGUUAUUAGGGAAGAACAAAUGUGUAAGUAACUAUGCACGUCUUGACGGUACCUAAUCAGAAAGCCACGGCUAACUACGUG
Molecule: ribosomal RNA, 497 nt
Filed under: uncultured bacterium
Lineage: Bacteria
Description: partial 16S ribosomal RNA
Rfam family: Bacterial small subunit ribosomal RNA
Source: RNAcentral